Pelobates cultripes (western spadefoot toad) is the source of this 876-nucleotide non-coding RNA. The record is from the annotation of a GenBank genome assembly. Lineage: Eukaryota; Metazoa; Chordata; Amphibia; Anura; Pelobatidae.
GAACCAUCUGUGUAUUAGGCUGAGGUUGUUGGGUGUGGGUAUAGCUUGAAAGUUGUGGUUGGUAUUGAGGAACCUGCCAGGGUGGGAGUCCUUGAAUGCCAGCUGGGCCAGGUUGACCAGGAGAACCGGGUUCACCACAAGCACCUUUGGGUGAAUCCAUGCUAUCCAUAAUUAAAACAGUGCUGAAGUUACCAUCUCUACAAAAGUUAAAUCCUUUGAUCAAAUUCUCUACCUCUGCCUCUAAAACUUUUCUGAUUCAAUCUAUCACCUCCAAACUUUCUUUGUCUCGCCUGCUUAAGAUCACAAUCCUUUUGUGACCGAUACAACAUACUUUUCCCUCUUUCUUUAUAUCCAAAACAACCUGCUGUAUCUUUCUCAUGAAUCUUCCCAAGAAAUUCAGUUGGGGUCAAAGAGGGCCAGUCACAGACCAACAGUUUGACCAAAAGUGAACAAGGAGGAAGCAUAUUCCAUAUGAAGGUCGAGAUGACCUAACUCACACCCCCUCUUUGUGUACACCUAUUUGUGUACCACACAGAUAUAAUAUUAAUAAGCUUUUGAAGAUUUAUUGUGCAUGUAUAGCACGGUUGUCUAGGGGUGUAUACAUAAACAGUGAAAGCAGAGUCUUCACAUAGGGUUUGCAAUACUGACAGUCUGUGUCAUAGGUGUAAUACAGACAUGCGGUUAGGAACUUUUCCAUUGUCAGAACACUAAUAUAUUGCAAAUAUUAAAAUCAUAUUGCAGCUGUUUCCUAUACCUGCAAAGAUAUGGUUUUAAUACUUCAAUUGAGUUCAAAUUGAGUAUCAAAAUUCUAACCACAAAAACUAAAUUUUAUAUGCUUAUCAAAAUGAGUUUAACCCCUUAGCAAUUUAAUAGGGU